AACGAACGCUGGCGGCAGGCCUAACACAUGCAAGUCGAACGCUCCGCAAGGGGAGUGGCAGACGGGUGAGUAACACGUGGGAAUCUUCCUAUUGGUAUGGAAUAGCUCAGGGAAACUUGGGGUAAUACCGUAUAAGCCCGAGAGGGGAAAGAUUUAUCGCCAAUAGAUGAGCCCGCGUCUGAUUAGCUAGUUGGUGAGGUAAUGGCUCACCAAGGCGACGAUCAGUAGCUGGUCUGAGAGGAUGAUCAGCCACACUGGGACUGAGACACGGCCCAGACUCCUACGGGAGGCAGCAGUGGGGAAUAUUGGACAAUGGGCGAAAGCCUGAUCCAGCAAUGCCGCGUGAGUGAUGAAGGCCUUAGGGUUGUAAAGCUCUUUUACCCGAGAUGAUAAUGACAGUAUCGGGAGAAUAAGCUCCGGCUAACUCCGUGCCAGCAGCCGCGGUAAUGUAGACGUCU
This 458-nucleotide ribosomal RNA is filed under the name uncultured bacterium. RNAcentral's name for it is "bacterial SSU rRNA". It matches the Rfam family "Bacterial small subunit ribosomal RNA", at positions 29 to 534 of the family's 1533-position model. The record is from RNAcentral.